AUUUCAAUGUGCACAAAUCUGUGCACUGGGUCACUACUAAUAAAUAUUAGCUGACUAUCUCCAGGCAAGUGGCCUUACAACCCCAAGCCUCAGUUUCCCCUUUUGUAAAGUGAAGAUAAUAAACCUUGCCUCAAGAUGUUAAGAAAUAAAGAGAGACUAUAUGCAAGUGCUCUGUGGAGUAGUUGACAAACAGAGGUUUAAUAAACACUAGUUACUCCUUCUCUUUCUCGCGAGACAGCUACAAUGCACUGAGGCACGGAAUGAGAUACAACCUGUGCGCUGCACACAGGAGUCCCUCAGGCAGCACUGAGUCAUCCCCGUCUCCGCCUCUCCUCCCACCCCUCCCCCCUGUGGCAGGCGGAAUUCUUGGAUGUCCCCCAAGACACCCAACCCCUGGCAGGCUCACCGUCUAAACCCAAGACAGUGAAUACGAUGAUGGUCACUCCUGUGAUCAGUGUCUAACAGACAGCUGGCCUGAGGGAAGGGAAGUCAUCCUGGGUGGACGUGACCUACUUGGGUGAGUUCCUAAAAGGGACAGGGCUCUCCCUGACAAAAGGCAUGUGGAGCGUGUGUAUCACUUAUGAGUGAUUAGCUCGGAACAUACCCUUUAGUAUGCACUCAGAGAAACUGAAUUCCUUUUUCUCUCCUUAAAGAGAGGACGGUGAUAAGCUGUCUCGGUAGAGGGAGCUGGAGGGACAUUGCAGGCGGGGACAGGGAGUCUGGGAGUACAUUUGGCGAAGCCCAGAACAUGGUUGCUCUUUGGUCUCGUAGCCUCAGCCUGGAAAUAACCUUCCUGCAGGCCUCUGACCCCACAACCAGAGUCCCCGCAUGGCCCGCAGGCUCCAGAGGCCUGCUGCACCGGCACAGGCACUGGGCCACAAACCGAGGCCCUGGCCACCUGCUCUCCUGCCUGUACUCAGAAGGUGGCACACUGCUUGCCCAGCAGCUCCAGACCAACUCCAGCCUGGCCAAACCAACAAACUGUCUCUGCUGUCGGGUGGACUGAGCCACACCUUCUCCAACGAGACUCAGACUGCUACAGGAUGAGAAGGAUUUUACACAAAGGAGACUCUAUUGCUGGCUUUGAAGUUGGAAGGGCUGCUCCACAAGGAAUGUGGGUAGCCUCUAGGAGCUGGGAAUGACCCGCAACUAAUAGCCAACCUGAACUGAAUUCUGCCACAGCCAUAGGAGCUUAGAAGAGGACCCCAAGCUCCAGAUGAGAAGGUACAAAAUGAUUUUUCAUUAACCUUAUGCCAACCCUAUCUCUAAUGACCCUUUCAUACGGCAGGGAUAUGCCCUAUUUUUGCCAGCCCUUGAAAUAGCUUUCCUUUCUUUUCUACAUACUUUCUAUAUCAGGCCUUCCAGUUCAAAGUCUGUAACAAUACUCUUACUUUCCAAAUUAGAAAGGAAAAAAAUUAUACAGGCAGAAUAAGAAAAAUACAUUUUUCAUCUAGCAGAUUUCC
Long non-coding RNA from Myotis brandtii (Brandt's bat), 1463 nucleotides. RefSeq lists it as uncharacterized. The transcript is spliced from 2 exons. The record is from RefSeq and is a predicted model, not a curated record. NCBI's taxonomy places the organism in Eukaryota, Metazoa, Chordata, Mammalia, Chiroptera, Vespertilionidae.